RNAcentral lists this ribosomal RNA (753 nucleotides) under uncultured bacterium. RNAcentral's name for it is "bacterial SSU rRNA". It matches the Rfam family "Bacterial small subunit ribosomal RNA", at positions 56 to 803 of the family's 1533-position model. The record is from RNAcentral.
UGCAGUCGAACGGCAGCACGGGAGCAAUCCUGGUGGCGAGUGGCGAACGGGUGAGUAAUAUAUCGGAACGUGCCCAGUCGUGAGGGAUAACGCAGCGAAAGCUGUGCUAAUACCGCAUACGAUCUCUGGAUGAAAGCGGGGGACUCGUAAGAGCCUCGCGCGAUUGGAGCGGCCGAUAUCAGAUUAGCUAGUUGGUGGGGUAAAGGCCCACCAAGGCGACGAUCUGUAGCUGGUCUGAGAGGACGACCAGCCACACUGGAACUGAGACACGGUCCAGACUCCUACGGGAGGCAGCAGUGGGGAAUUUUGGACAAUGGGCGCAAGCCUGAUCCAGCAAUGCCGCGUGCAGGAUGAAGGCCUUCGGGUUGUAAACUGCUUUUGUACGGAACGAAAAGGUCUGCCUUAAUACGGUGGGCCCAUGACGGUACCGUAAGAAUAAGCACCGGCUAACUACGUGCCAGCAGCCGCGGUAAUACGUAGGGUGCGAGCGUUAAUCGGAAUUACUGGGCGUAAAGCGUGCGCAGGCGGUUAUAUAAGACAGAUGUGAAAUCCCCGGGCUCAACCCGGGACCUGCAUUUGUGACUGUAUAGCUAGAGUACGGUAGAGGGGGAUGGAAUUCCGCGUGUAGCAGUGAAAUGCGUAGAUAUGCGGAGGAACACCGAUGGCGAAGGCAAUCCCCUGGACCUGUACUGACGCUCGUGCACGAGAGCGUGAGGAGCAAACAGGAUUAGAUACCCUAGUAGUCCACGCCCU